RNAcentral lists this ribosomal RNA (302 nucleotides) under uncultured bacterium. RNAcentral's name for it is "partial 16S ribosomal RNA". It matches the Rfam family "Bacterial small subunit ribosomal RNA", at positions 508 to 807 of the family's 1533-position model. The record is from RNAcentral.
GCAGCAGCCACGGUAAUACGUAGGGUGCAAGCGUUAAUCGGAAUUACUGGGCGUAAAGCGUGCGCAGGCGGUUAUAUAAGACAGAUGUGAAAUCCCCGGGCUCAACCUGGGAACUGCAUUUGUGACUGUAUAGCUAGAGUACGGCAGAGGGGGAUGGAAUUCCGCGUGUAGCAGUGAAAUGCGUAGAUAUGCGGAGGAACACCGAUGGCGAAGGCAAUCCCCUGGGCCUGUACUGACGCUCAUGCACGAAAGCGUGGGGAGCAAACAGGAUUAGAUACCCCCGUAGUCCCUGUCUCUUAUAC